Molecule: ribosomal RNA, 561 nt
Filed under: uncultured bacterium
Lineage: Bacteria
Description: bacterial SSU rRNA
Rfam family: Bacterial small subunit ribosomal RNA
Source: RNAcentral
CCUACGGGAGGCAGCAGUGAGGAAUUUUGCGCAAUGGGCGAAAGCCUGACGCAGCGACGCCACGUGAGCGAUGAAGUCUCUAGGGAUGUAAAGCUCUGUCAAGAGGAACGAUUAUGACGGUACCUCUAAAGGAAGCCCCGGCUAACUACGUGCCAGCAGCCGCGGUAAUACGUAGGGGGCAAGCGUUAUCCGGAUUUAUUGGGCAUAAAGAGCGCGUAGGCGGUAUUUUAAGUCAGAUGUUAAAAGCUUCAGCUCAACUGAAGUCCGCAUUUGAAACUGGAGUACUAGAGUUUAGUAGAGGAAAGCGGAACUCACGGUGUAGCGGUGAAAUGCGUAGAUAUCGUGAGGAACACCAGUUGCGAAGGCGGCUUUCUGGACUAAUACUGACGCUGAGGUGCGAAAGCGUGGGGAGCGAACGGGAUUAGAUACCCCGGUAGUCCACGCCGUAAACGUUGUUCACUAGGUGUUGGAGGUAUCGACCCCUUCAGUGCCACAGAUAAUUCGUUAAGUGAACCGCCUGGGAAGUACGACCGCAAGGUUAAAACUCAAAGGAAUUGACGG